RNAcentral lists this ribosomal RNA (989 nucleotides) under Hepatozoon canis. RNAcentral describes it as "SSU rRNA". It matches the Rfam family "Eukaryotic small subunit ribosomal RNA", at positions 50 to 1028 of the family's 1831-position model. Lineage: Eukaryota; Apicomplexa; Hepatozoidae. The record is from RNAcentral.
CACUGCAUGUCUAAGUAUAAGCAAAAAUACAGCAAAACUGCAAAUGGCUCAUUAAAACAGUUAUGGUUUACUUGAUAAUAGUUUUUACAUGGAUAACCGUGGUAAUUCUACAGCUAAUACAUGAGCAAAAUCUCAACUUUAUUAGAAGAGACGCAUUUAUUAGAUAAAAAGCCAAUGCAUGCUUUUACAGUAUGGAAAUUGGUGAUUUAUAAUAACUUGGCAAAUCGCAAAGUGAAAACAGGCGAUAAAUCAUUCAAGUUUCUGACCUAUCAGCUUUCGACGGUAUGGUAUUGGCUUACCGUGGCAGUGACGGUUAACGGGGGAUUAGGGUUCGAUUCCGGAGAGGGAGCCUGAGAAACGGCUACCACAUCUAAGGAAGGCAGCAGGCGCGCAAAUUACCCAAUUCUAACAGUUUGAGAGAGGUAGUAACAAGAAAUAACAAUACAAGGCAAUUAAAAUGCUUUGUAAUUGGAAUGAUAGAAAUUUAAACCCUUUUUAAAGUAUCAAUUGGAGGGCAAGUCUGGUGCCAGCAGCCGCGGUAAUUCCAGCUCCAAUAGCGUAUAUUAAAAUUGUUGCAGUUAAAAAGCUCGUAGUUGAAGUUCUGCUAAAAGUAACCGGUCUGCUUUUAAUAAAAGUGGUAUCUUGGUGUGUAUUUAGCAAUGAUGUCCUUUGAAGUGUUUUUUACUUUAUUGUAAUAAAGCAUAUUCAGGACUUUUACUUUGAGAAAAUUAGAGUGUUUCUAGCAGGCCGACGCUUUGAAUACUGCAGCAUGGAAUAAUAAGAUAGGAUUUUAGUUCUACAUUAUUGGUUUUAAGAGCUAAAUUAAUGAUUGAUAGGGACAGUUGGGGGCAUUUGUAUUUAACUGUCAGAGGUGAAAUUCUUAGAUUUGUUAAAGACAAACUACUGCGAAAGCAUUUGCCAAAGAUGUUUUCAUUAAUCAAGAACGAAAGUUAGGGGAUCGAAGACGAUCAGAUACCGUCGUAGUCUUA